RNAcentral lists this long non-coding RNA (778 nucleotides) under Populus tremula. RNAcentral describes it as "long non-coding RNA (PTRE_LNC001814)". The record is from RNAcentral. Lineage: Eukaryota; Viridiplantae; Streptophyta; Magnoliopsida; Malpighiales; Salicaceae.
UGAUUAUUAUUGGGAAGAAAUAGAACAGAGGAAACAGAGGGCAGAGCAGGGGAGUUUCGCUUGCAUUGUCUAUUUGAUGAAGUGAGCUUUUGGAAUGGGAUGAAUGAUUGAGUUUCAUCUCGUUGGCUAUAUUUUUAUUUCCAUCUUUCAUCUUUUACUUUAUUUUGAGAAUGCCAUGGCAGUAUGGCACAAACAUGAUGCAAUUGAAAUUGGAUUUCAGAGGUAAUGUAUUGCAUUAUGAGCGACUCAUGUUUUUAUCCCUAUUCUGGGAUUUGACAUGCUAUAUAAUUUUAGAUUGUCAUAGCAUUUUCUCUGAAAAAAGAUUGCUUUUUAGCCUCUGUUGCUGUGAUAUGAGUUCUCAAGAACAUCACUUUUUGUUCAGGGAAAAACUAAUGAAAACACAUUUAAUUGUUACAUUAAGUAAUUUUCUUAAAUACAAUCUUAUCAAAGUUACACUUUUAAUUUAGUCUUCCUGUUCUCUUUUGAAUGGCCUCUAGAGCAUUAGCUGCCUUUUCAUAACGCACAACUAAGAGAGAAGAAAAUGGAAAAUUUGUCAUCUUGAAGAACUUAUGAUCAUAGCACCAAAUACACACAAGGAAUCACAAAGUAGUUAGUACCUUCAUACUUGCAUGCUUGAAGUAUCCCAGUCACAAUGCUGAGGCAUGUGGGGUCGUUAACCACAACCACAAUAUUGAAUUCUCAAGGAAGGUUUUGGGGUUUGGUUGAUUGAACAGGGCCGGAGAUUGUAUUAUCCAUGCUUGAAAAAUUAUGAAGGCUG